Molecule: long non-coding RNA, 2726 nt
Filed under: Sus scrofa (pig)
Lineage: Eukaryota; Metazoa; Chordata; Mammalia; Artiodactyla; Suidae
Description: lncRNA (ENSSSCG00030040443.1, ENSSSCG00060042063.1)
Source: RNAcentral
CUAGUUGCAUCCAUGUUGCUGCAAAUGGCAUAAUUUUGUUCUUUUUUAUGGCUGAGUAGUAUUCCAUUGUAUAUAUGUGCCACAUCUUCUUAAUCCAUUCAUCUGUCAUUGGACAUUUAAGUUAGGUGGGGAGCAGUGCCAUUAUUAAAGUCUCCUUUCCAUAUUGUGGAUUUUAGGCAAGCUCCAGUUGGGACUAAGGUCAGGAGAUGGCAUGUGCACUAAGUGGAGGAGGACGCAAAGAUAAAAUCGGCAAGCACACAGCAGGUCCAGCUCCUACUGUGCUCACGUGUCUAUUGAGCCUUUACUAUGAGAGGUGUCCAUGAGGUCAGCUGAAAAGAGAGGCAUGAGGGGUAAGAGGGCAUUUCAGUGAAACUUGGCUACAUGAACAACAGAAGGGAAGCAUGACCUUUGCUACUCUGUAAGUCACCAGAAGUCUAUAAUGAAAGCCCAUUAAACAGGGCUGGGAAGGGUUGUGCAAUGCUAGGUUUAAAAAUAUGAUAUAAAAUCAUUAAUGUCAAAAUCUACCACUCAUCAUAUUUGACAUUUUUAUGAAAACUCCUGAACAUGUUUUUUCACCCCUGUUAGAACUGAGGCAGAGUCCACCUCGGUUUUAUCUUUAUUUCUCUGCAUCUUGUACAGUGCUUUGUUUGCGGUAACACCCAUAAAGAUGAGCCACAUGAGUUCAUGGUUCUUUCCCGUCCAUGUCUAGCUUGUCAGCCACAGGAGGACAGGUUGAGUGCAUUUUUUCAUUGAUAUGUUUUCUCAGGAGACUAGAAAAGUGCAUGCAUUGAAGGUACUAAAUAAAUGCUGGUUCCAUUGAAAAGAAACCUCUGACACCCAAUUUUUCUGAUCCAGGCCUCCCCCAGUGCCCUUUUCCCAACCUGGCAGGGCCGAGUUGGGGUUCCUCUAGUGCCAAACAAAGCUCGCUCCUGUAAUCUAGCUGCUGAGCGUCUGUAGCAUUUUGAUAUAAAGCAUUAAAACAUUUCCUCAGCCAAGUGUUUUACACAACAUAAAAUAUUUUCCUAUGCUAAUGUUUCUUUUAUUGAGUUUUUUACAAAAAAAAUUAUCACACAUUCUACAGAUAUUCAGCAACACUUACUCAACUGAAACGCAAAAUAAAAUUACAGAAACACCAAAUACAGACAUUCUCUCAAAUUAACCAGAAAGAACGGAUUGUUAGUGAAGAAAAUAGUCUACGUAAAUCGCUGCACAGCCCCUGACUAGGGCUCUCUUCCGCCAAAACGUCACUUUGGUGGGGCCCCUUCUGGCUCCACUGUCCCUUUACCUGCUGACCCACCAAUCAGGACAGAGACGGAGCAUCCCAAGUUUACGUUCAUUGGAAGAGGGCCAUGUUGUAGUUCGAAGGACCACAAAGCAGACCAACGCUACACAUGGUACAGCCAAGAUGAAUGCAAGUACGGAGGCCACAUAGACUCGGCAAGAGCUGCUGCAUUGAGAGAAACACUCUCAACUGUCUGAAGAAAGUGGAAGUGGUCUCUCGCUAGGGAAGGACCAUCGUCUGGGGAAAAGGUGACCUGGGGAUGGCAGAGGAGAGUGGACCCUAAAGGUCUGGGCAUGCAGGUGAGCUUGUAAGGAAGAGGAAGUGUAGGGAGGAUAUCACAUAGGAAAUCAGUGAGGGGAGGCCACGUGGGUGCUCCCUCUUCUGGGAAGUGAAACCACAGCCUGUGUAUGGUGCUCAGGGAAGAAGACUAACUGCCCAGACCUCGAUUGUUAUGCUUCCACCUGUAACUAAAUCACACCAAUUUUGUCUCUCUGUGAGUCAGAGGCAAAGGGUCAAGAGCAUAGACCCUGGCUGAUAGGGUUAAUAGCACUCUAUAUGCACCAUUUCUGAUCUUUGAAAUCACCCACAAAUUCAUCAAAAGGAGUAUUUUCACUCCUAGUUGACAGAUGAAGAGACAAAGGACUAGGAAGUUUAAGCAUCUUGCUAAGUGUUGCACUCCACAGAGCGGUGGAGACCCAGGACCGGUCACUCACACAUUGGUUUCCUCCAUAUCUCAGUUCAAAUUUUCCUCUCUCAGUGAAGGUGGCAACUAAAUGUCCAUCCACAGGUGUAUGGAUACAGAAGAUGUUGUUCAUAUAUAGUGGAAUAUUACUCAGCCAUAAAAAGGAAAUAAUGCCAUACUAAAUGAAGUAAGCCAGACAGAAAAAAACAAAUAUCAUGUGAUAUUUGUGGAAUUUUGUGGAAUUUUGCUUGUAUGUGGAAUUUUAAAAAGAUAAAAAUGAACUUAAUACAAAACAAAACAGACCCAGAGACAUAGAAAAUAAACUUAUGGUUACCCAAGGGGAAGGUGGGGAAUAAAUUAGGAGUUUGGGAUUAACAUAUACAUACUACUAUAUAUAAAACAGACAACAAGGACCUACUGUAUAGCAGAGAGAACUAUGUCCAAUAUUUUGAAAUGUUGAAGAAUGAGGAAAAAAUACAUAACUGAUUCACUUAACCAUACACCUACAACUAACAACAAUUGUAAAUGAACAAUACUUCAAUUUAAAAAAAGGGAGUUCCCAUGAUGGCUCAGUGGUGAACGAGCCUGACUAGUAUCCAUGAGGAUGUGGGUUCGAUUCCUGGUCUCGCUCAGUGGGUUAAAGAUCCAGCAUUGCCAUGAGCUGUGGUAGAGGUUGCAGAUGCGGCUCGGAUCUUGUGUUGCUGUGGCUGUGGCAUAGGUUGCCAGCCACAGCUCUGAUUCAACCCCUAGAUUGGGAACCUC